UAGGGAAUAUUGGACAAUGGGGGGAACCCUGAUCCAGCCAUGCCGCGUGGAGGAAGACUGCCCUCUGGGUUGUAAACUCCUUUUAUAUGGGAAGAACCAUCCUCAUUGAUGAGUGACCUAACGGUACCAUAGGAAUAAGCACCGGCUAACUCCGUGCCAGCAGCCGCGGUAAUACGUAGGGGGCAAGCGCUGUCCGGAUUUACUGGGUGUAAAGGGUGCUCAGGCGGAUUUGUAAGUCAGAGGUGAAAUCUUACAGCUUAACUGUGAAACUGCCUUUGAUACUGCAAGCCUAGAGUAUGGAAGAGAGUGAUGGAAUAUCUGGUGUAGCAGUGAAAUGCGUAGAUAUCAGAUAGAACACCAAUGGCGAAGGCAGUCACUUGGUCCAUUACUGACGCUAAAGCACGAAAGCGUGGGUAGCAAACA
RNAcentral lists this ribosomal RNA (423 nucleotides) under uncultured bacterium. RNAcentral's name for it is "bacterial SSU rRNA". It matches the Rfam family "Bacterial small subunit ribosomal RNA", at positions 355 to 774 of the family's 1533-position model. The record is from RNAcentral.